AUCGGCCAACAAAUGCCACAUUGAAUAAAAGUGAUAAAGAUUUAAUGUUGCAAAUGGUAUAAUCGUCGUAAUUUUUCAUUUUUUUUUAUUCUAGUCACAAUGACUUGAAGAAUUUAACUGUUAUGAAAUCAUGUACAUACUUUCGAUAAAGGUUGCACCACAACGAUAGGAAUAUGGUACAUACAUAAAUAUGACAACAAAAAACAGCAUUAUCACCACUGUAAUUGAAUAAUAAUCUUGGGGAACAGAAUUAUUGUUAUUUACAUAUACUAGAAGUUGAUGCAACAUAUAAUAAUACAGCCAUAGAAUUCAACCAUUCGCCAUGGUGUUACCAUCACCUGUACACGCAUAAAUUGAAAAGGUUUACUAUAUAUAUAUCUGGAAACUACAACGUAAUGCUGUAAGUCAACUCUUUUGACAUUUGGUAUAAUUAAUUCUAACAGUUCGGUGUAUAACCAAAACUUUAUAAUUUGAAUAAAUGUUCGUUACCACUU
Bradysia coprophila is the source of this 494-nucleotide long non-coding RNA. Lineage: Eukaryota; Metazoa; Arthropoda; Insecta; Diptera; Sciaridae. The record is from RefSeq and is a predicted model, not a curated record.